UGGGAAGGACUAGUGCCUGACCAUUGGUGGGUGGAGGUGGGUGUUGUCCCUCUGGUGGGCAGGGCCAUGUCAAGUGGUGUAUUUAGAGGUGAAGUGGCUAUGGGCUCAGGGUGAUUUUAGGGAACCUGUCUGCUCAUACAUAAGGCUGUGUUUCCACCCUGUUGGUUGUUUCACUGAUGUGUCCCGGCACUGGAGCCUGCAGGCUUUUGGGUGGGGGCAGAUCAUAGUGCCAAAAGGGUGACCUCUGAGAGAGCUCACACUGAAGAAUAUUCCCAAGGGCCUCUCUGUGACUAUUUUUCUUACCCCAGAGUGAGCCAUAGCUCACCCUUGCCUCCCCAAGAGACCCUCCAAGACCUGAAGGUAGGUCCAGCUCAGGGUCCUGUGGAGUCACUGCUUUGCCUUUGGUCCUAGUGUGUAUGUGCCAUCCAAGAGUGGAGUCUCUUUCCCCCAGUUCUGUGGAGCUCCUUCAGUCAAGCCCCACGGGCCUUCAAAGCCAAAUACUCUGGGGACUCCUCCUCCGAAUGCCAGACCUCCAGGCUGGGAAGUCUGACAUGAGGCUCAGGACUCUCACUCCAGUGGAAGAACCUAUAUGAUGUAAUUAUUUUUUAGUUUGUGAGUCACCCACCUAGGGGUAUUGGAUUUGAUUAUAUCAUGAAAGCACUCCGUUACCAUCUCAAUGGGUUCUUCUUUGUCAAAAAGAUGUAUAAUAUCUUUUUUGGUAGGUUCCACUUUUUUUUCUUGAUAGUUGUUCAGCAUUUAGUUUGAUUUUGGUGUUUUCAUGAGAGGAAGUGAGCUCAAGUUCUCUGCUAUCCACUAUUAACUUUCAAAUUUGUCUCCUUAUUUAAGGUUGACUGAUUAGUAAACCUAAUUCCAUCUGAAAUCUUAAUCCUCCCUUGUCACAUAACCUAAAAUGGUCACAGAUCCUUGGAGUUAGAGCAUAGACACUUUUGGAGAAAAUUAUUUUUCCAUCUCCAUACUCUAACUUAUUUGACCCCGUGUGUGAAAGUUUGAAAUUUGUUCUCAAUGCCUAGUGGAUUGAGUCUAAUUUUCCUAUAGAAUUAACUCAUUUAUUUAUAUGGCUUUCUUACCUUUUCUUGCUCCUUUUCUUAAUCUACCCACUUCACAGGCUGCGGGGAGCCGAAAAGAUACAAGGAGCUGAGGAAGGGAGCUUGUCUGAAUGGUGCAAUUCCGAGGGCAGGCUCCUAAUCAGAAAAAGGGGCCUGUCUGAACAGUACAAUUCCGAGAGCAGGUUCCUAAACAAGGGGAUGCCUGCCUGCACGGCACAGUUCCGAAGACAGGCCCCAGAAGACAAUAAGGCUCGCCUGCUAACAUUGGUGGGGAACUGAAUUUUCCAGAAAACAAUUUCCAUUUUGUGCUGCUGAGUGGGGAUUGUCCCAUGGAUGACUUAGUCUUUUCUGUUAUUCUCUUGCUAUUCAAUUUUCCUCAGUCUUUCCUGAUUAUUUGCUUAUUAUUCUUAUUUCCCAUUCUUAUUUUCCUUGGUGAUUUGUGAUUUAACAAAAUUACAACAAUAGUAAGAAUUUCAUCCUGAAAGACUUUCCCCUAUUCAAAUCCAACUUAAUUGAAACAUAGUGUUUAUCUACUAACUAGUUAUACAGUAAACUUUAGAGUUAGGAUUUUAAUGAGGUUCAUAAAAGUUAGACAUAUAUUAUUCUUGAUCAAAAGAAACCCAGCUGUGAGUUUUGUCCUAGAUUUUAGAAGCUUCUAAGCAGUAGCUAAUUAAGUUGAUUUAUAUUUUCUUAUACUGUCUUCCUGCCAUAAUGCUUAAAGAUAUACAUUAGUCUAAAAACAAGAUUUGUAAAUGCCAGAUUUUUGUGUCUGUAACCUCUUCAGCUUGUGGAAAUUGGCUGGCCAUGAGAUGGUUUGUGCUGAGUCUCCUCUUUCCCACAUGAUAUGCUACACCUGUUUGUCCUUGAAUUGUACUCAUUAGAUUUAGUUAAACUAAAGAUCUUAAAACAUGAUGUAUAGCUGCUAUACCAUGUAAUAGUUAACCAAUGUACUUUUAACACUGUGAUGUAAUCUGUAGUAAAAAACUUUCUAUAUAAUCAACCACUUAUGCCAAUAAAAUUUGAGCAGUCCAGCACCCUGAAAGAAGGGACAAAGAGGCUGUCUCCGUAUGUACAGUCACUGACGCUGUGUCCCUCUCCUAUCAGGAAAAAGUGUACACUCCCUGGCCACGGGAGCUGGCCUCUGGCAACAGGCCUUCCUUGGAUCACUUUCCAGAUAAACUGCAUAAAAGGAAAUCUUUAUCUCACAUUCUGCUUUUGUUGGAAAUCAAAAUUUAAUAAAGUAUGUCAUAAAAUGGAAUACUAUAAUAUUUAAUUUAUUAAAAUGCACUUACCAUUAUUUGUCAAAGUUAUAUAAAUUAAAACCACAACAUGUCACAGUAUACUGAUAAGAAUGGAUUGCAAUAUGCAUAAACAGACUUUCAAACUACAUACCAUAAGUAUAUAAAGAAAUAGGAGUUCUCACAGUUGGAAUUAUAUACAAUAUUCAUUUGGAAAAUUUCUGGGUAGUAUCUUCUCAGUAUCUCAGAUUGCAUUGUUCUAAUGAAAUAAAUACUAACGUACUAAGGAGUAAGGGGUAUCAUGUAAUCAAUCUAUUCUCAAAUUGCUCAUAAAACCAUAUAUGUUAAAAAUAUACACAAGACUUUACCAAUCGUACAACAGUUUCUGUUGUUAACCCACUCAUACCCUCUGCCUUACUCUGGAGGUCAUUUACAUGCAUAGGUGUAGUAAAAAUAUACAUUAAAGCAAAUUUGUUCAUAAUAUGCCUAACUGGAAGCAACUGAAAUAUUGUUCAAUAACUAGGUGCAAAUUAUUGUCUACUUAUAAAUUAAAAUAUUGUAUAAUAGUGAGAGUAUACAAAUUAAAGUUAACAUUCCAAGUAAUAUUUCUAUUGCAUCAUGUUUUUCAUAUUGCAAAUCAUAAUUAGACAUACUCAGACUCUAUAUUUGUUCAUGUGUCAAGUUUUUUGCAUGGCAUCAUGACCACUUGAGCUUUGAAUUAACUUUAGCAUUCUCCCUAGUUCCCAAUUAAUACCUGCUGUAAAGCUUAACUGAAAUAUCUUGCUUCUCCCAAAUCUCUUCUCAUGGAAGAAGACAUCGUACCUUUACUUAUUCUUCCUUUAAAACUGGCCAGCCAGCCCCAUGAAGUCUUCUCUGAUCCCUGAAUCCUCAUUAAUGUCCCUAUCCUCAAAAUUCAUCAAGUAUUAAUAAUCUGAAGAAUGUAAUCUUGAGACAAUUUUCUCUGAUGAUUAUUGGUCUUAUGAAACUUUAAAUUCAUCUUUGCAUUUCCCAGAGUGCCAAAAUUAAAAUACUUAAACACAACUCUGCUUUAUCAAAGGGAAAUAUAAAAAAGUAUAUUUUACAUUUUUCUAUUCAACAGUUUGUUUAUCUGGACACAUUGAUGAAUGAAUGAAGUUAUUUAUAUUGAUGUUGCUGGGUUUUAAGAAAUAAAUUCUGCCUUGCAUGGUACCUUAUGCAGACAUUUCCUAAAACAUUAUAUUCUGGUUUUGAAUAAAUAGGUGCAUAGUAUUUUAACUUUAGCCUCUAAAAUCUUUCUCAAGUUUUUACUUAUGAAACAUAAAUUACUGCAUUUAUAUACAAAGGAUCUGACGUACUGAAACUUUCCACUGAAUGAAUUACACAUGCAUAGGAGGUAUAAUCAUAAUUUCCAAUACCUCUAUUAGUUGUUUACUCAAACCAGGUUUAUUUUAGUAUGCCUGGCUUUUUUUAUUUCUUUUUAAUUAGUUUAAAAGUCAUGAUUAGUCCUGCUUCUCCAGUCAAUGCUUUUGUCACAUAAUGAUCAAGUUGUUAUAUAUUAUGUGUAUAUAUAAGUGAUAGAGCAGGUUUGUUUUGUUUUGUUUUGUUUUGUUUUUUCUGAACUUGGCAGAAAGCUUUAGCAACCCAUCUUACAAAUAUCUGUAAGUUCUUUUUGAAAGUCAUCUAAUGAGUAUCACUGAGAAUUGCUGCAGUGUAGGCUGUACCUUAAACAUUGCUAAAGAAAGGUGUAACAUUUAAAAGCUAUAUAUUUAAUAGGACCUGUGGCAGAGUGAUGUUAUUUGACAAGAAAACAAAUGCUACUAUAAAAUAUAUAAAAUAAAAAAUAGACGUUACGUUAAAAUAUUUAUUAGAGGAGUAAGUAGGUAGGUUAUUAUUGGUCUAUAAUACUCUCUAAAAUGUAGAUACGAUGCUUUCAGAAUGAAAAUUAGUGAAAAACAGUACAGUGAGACAAAAAUGGCAAGCUCUAGGUCUUUUGAUUAUUGUUUUAACUACAUGAGAAUAACGUAUUUGAUGUAUAUCAAGAGUAUCUGAUAUAAUCUGUUUAUACUUUAUUUUUCAUUAAGAAAGUAUACAGGAGUCAGAUUUUCAGAAGAAAUGUAAUGAAAGUGAAUAGAAUAAAAUAUAUACAACCCAUCAUUACUAUUGUUAAUGCUUUGUAUAUUUGUUCCAGGCACUUUUUUCCUAUGCAUUAUACCAUAGAUACAGAUUUGCAAUAUUUUAUCUCACUACAUAUUUAUCAUUAUCUUAGGUCAGUAAUUUUUUAUCUAUACUUUUUCUUUAAAUAAUGAUACUACUCAGCAAUUCACUCAACAUGCCCCCAUAGGAUCUAUAUGAAUCACUUCUGUUUGGGAAAAAUUGGUAUCAGUUGCUUGUGAAAAUUCAUCUUCCUUUUAUAGUCCACUGUUCAUUGUGGGAUCCUUAUCUUAUCGAUGCCUGCUACCAUAAACCCAGUAGCAGUUCAUCUGAAACCUGGAAGGUGAACUUGAUCUUUUCCCCUCCUUUAAUGAGCAGAGGACAUGAAUUUAAUUACCUUUCUUGACCCCCAGUGGCAUUAUAGUUUUCAAAAACAACUUCUUGGAGUUCCCGUCGUGGCGCAGUGGUUAACGAAUCCGACUAGGAACCAUGAGGUUGUGGGUUCGGUCCCUGCCCUUGCUCAGUGGGUUAACGAUCCGGCGUUGCCGUGAGCUGUGGUGUAGGUCGCAGACACGGCUCGGAUCCUGCAUUGCUGUGGCUCUGGCGUAGGCCGGUGGCUGCAGCUCCGAUUGGACCCCUAGCCUGGGAACCUCCAUAUGCCGUGGGACUGGCCCAAAGAAAU
This 5117-nucleotide long non-coding RNA is filed under the name Sus scrofa (pig). Its description in RNAcentral is "lncRNA (ENSSSCG00000060368.1)". Lineage: Eukaryota; Metazoa; Chordata; Mammalia; Artiodactyla; Suidae. The record is from RNAcentral.